AAAAAAACAAACCCUGAAUUUCUAUGUCUAACGUUUGACCGUCUGUCUUAUUUGAAAAAAAAUAUGAAAAAAGUUAAAAAGACAAGUCACGCGUAAAAUAUUAAUCGUGUUUUAUCAUCUAACAACAAUAAAAAUACUAAUUAUAAAAAAAUUUCAUAUAAGAUGAGCAGUCAACCGUUAAACACGGAAUCCCAGUUUUUUUUUUUUU
Oryza sativa Indica Group (long-grained rice) is the source of this 208-nucleotide microRNA precursor. It matches the Rfam family "MIR812 microRNA precursor family". NCBI's taxonomy places the organism in Eukaryota, Viridiplantae, Streptophyta, Magnoliopsida, Poales, Poaceae. The record is from Rfam.